GUCGGGAGUCUUGCACAAUGGGGGAAACCCUGAUGCAGCGACGUCGCGUGUGGGAUGAAGUAUUUCGGUAUGUAAACCACUUUUGCGGGGGGCGAAAAAAAUGACGGUACCCCGCGAAUAAGCCCCGGCUAACUACGUGCCAGCAGCCGCGGGAAUACGUAGGGGGCGAGCGUUGCUCGGAUUGACUGGGCGUAAAGCGCGCGUAGGCGGUCCAUUAAGUGUGCGGUGAAAUUCGGAGGCUCAACCUCCGUCCCGCCGCGCAAACUGAUGGUCUUGAGAUUGGGAGGGGGAUGCGGAAUUCCUGGUGUAGCGGUGAAAUGCGUAGAUAUCAGGAAGAACACCGGUGGCGAAGGCGGCUUGCUGGACAGUAACUGACGUUGAGGCUCGAAAGCGUGGGGAGCAAACAGGAUUAGAAACCCUGGUAGUCC
RNAcentral lists this ribosomal RNA (428 nucleotides) under uncultured bacterium. Its description in RNAcentral is "partial 16S ribosomal RNA". It matches the Rfam family "Bacterial small subunit ribosomal RNA", at positions 354 to 796 of the family's 1533-position model. The record is from RNAcentral.